This 253-nucleotide ribosomal RNA is filed under the name Neobacillus bataviensis. RNAcentral's name for it is "partial 16S ribosomal RNA". It matches the Rfam family "Bacterial small subunit ribosomal RNA", at positions 524 to 776 of the family's 1533-position model. Lineage: Bacteria; Bacillati; Bacillota; Bacilli; Caryophanales; Bacillaceae. RNAcentral also lists the same sequence under 3 other names. The record is from RNAcentral.
UACGUAGGUGGCAAGCGUUGUCCGGAAUUAUUGGGCGUAAAGCGCGCGCAGGCGGUCCUUUAAGUCUGAUGUGAAAGCCCACGGCUCAACCGUGGAGGGUCAUUGGAAACUGGGGGACUUGAGUGCAGAAGAGGAAAGCGGAAUUCCACGUGUAGCGGUGAAAUGCGUAGAGAUGUGGAGGAACACCAGUGGCGAAGGCGGCUUUCUGGUCUGUAACUGACGCUGAGGCGCGAAAGCGUGGGGAGCAAACAGG